RNAcentral lists this ribosomal RNA (205 nucleotides) under uncultured Mesotoga sp. RNAcentral's name for it is "partial 16S ribosomal RNA". It matches the Rfam family "Bacterial small subunit ribosomal RNA", at positions 568 to 774 of the family's 1533-position model. Lineage: Bacteria; Thermotogati; Thermotogota; Thermotogae; Kosmotogales; Kosmotogaceae. The record is from RNAcentral.
AGCGUAGGUGGCCUAACAUGUCAACUGUGAAAACCCGGAGCUCAACUCCGGACUUGCAGUUGAAACUGGUAGGCUUGAGGACGGUAGAGGAAGACGGAACUGCCAGUGUAGGGGUAAAAUCCUUAGAUAUUGGCAGGAACGCCGGUGACGAAGGUGGUUUUCCGGCGGUUCUGACACUGAUGCUCGAAAGCCAGGGGAGCGAACG